Non-coding RNA from Hemibagrus wyckioides, 541 nucleotides. The record is from the annotation of a RefSeq genome assembly. Lineage: Eukaryota; Metazoa; Chordata; Actinopteri; Siluriformes; Bagridae.
GUUCUAUAAUAGCAUUAAAACAGCUGCAAUAAAGAGUGCUGAACUUCAACAAAUCAACAUGUUUAUAGCUAUAUAUGCUGUUCUCUUCUCUUCAGCCAUAGAAGCUGUUCUGGGAGUGAAACUGGAGCAAAAAGAUCUCUCCCUGACAAAAGGGAAGGGCAAAACUAUACACAUCAGCUGCAAAGUGACCGAGCGGAGCUCAGCUUAUGUCCACUGGUACCAAAAGAAAGACGGUGAAGAAGCUCUGAAAAGGAUCCUGUAUGUGGAAAAAGGAAAGUCACCUGUUCUUGAUAAUACCCAUCCUGAAUCAGGGGACUUUAAAGUGAGGAUACAGUCUGAUAACUAUGAUCUGAAGAUAGAAAUACUGAAGGAAAUUCACUCAGGGGUUUAUUACUGCGCCAGCUGGGAAAAGCAAAAACAUCUCAUCAUGACAAAAGAGGAGGGUAAAGGUGUGUAUAUCAACUGCAAAGUGACCGGAUUAUCCAGCAGCAAUUAUGUCUACUGGUACCGAAGGAAAGACAGUGAAGGUGACAAACACUGA